UACAGAGGUCCCAAGCGUUGUUCGGAUUCACUGGGCGUAAAGGGUGCGUAGGCGGUCGGGUAAGUCUGACGUGAAAUCUUCAAGCUUAACUUGGAAACUGCGUCGGAUACUAUUCGGCUAGAGGAAUGGAGGGGAGACUGGAAUACUUGGUGUAGCAGUGAAAUGCGUAGAUAUUAAGUGGAACACCAGUGGCGAAGGCGAGUCUCUGGACAUUUCCUGACGCUGAGGCACGAAAGCCAGGGGAGCAAACGGG
This 253-nucleotide ribosomal RNA is filed under the name uncultured bacterium. RNAcentral's name for it is "partial 16S ribosomal RNA". It matches the Rfam family "Bacterial small subunit ribosomal RNA", at positions 524 to 776 of the family's 1533-position model. The record is from RNAcentral.